UACGUAGGGUGCGAGCGUAAUCGGAAUUACUGGGCGUAAAGCGUGCGCAGGCGGUUUUGUAAGCCAGGUGUGAAAUCCCCGGGCUCAACCUGGGAAUGGCAUUUGGGACUGCAAGGCUGGAGUGCGGCAGAGGAGACUGGAAUUCCUGGUGUAGCAGUGAAAUGCGUAGAUAUCAGGAGGAACACCGAUGGCGAAGGCAGGUCUCUGGGCUGACACUGACGCUCAUGCACGAAAGCGUGGGGAGCGAAACAACGG
RNAcentral lists this ribosomal RNA (255 nucleotides) under uncultured bacterium. RNAcentral's name for it is "partial 16S ribosomal RNA". It matches the Rfam family "Bacterial small subunit ribosomal RNA", at positions 524 to 779 of the family's 1533-position model. The record is from RNAcentral.